This 582-nucleotide ribosomal RNA is filed under the name uncultured bacterium. RNAcentral describes it as "bacterial SSU rRNA". It matches the Rfam family "Bacterial small subunit ribosomal RNA", at positions 8 to 545 of the family's 1533-position model. The record is from RNAcentral.
AGAGUUUGAUCAUGGCUCAGGAUGAACGCUGGCGGCGUGCCUAACACAUGCAAGUCGAACGAGAAGCUAACUUAUGAUUCCUUCGGGAUGAUGAAGUCAGCAGAAAGUGGCGAACGGGUGAGUAACGCGUGGGUAAUCUACCCUAUAAGUGGGGGAUAACCCUCCGAAAGGAGGGCUAAUACCGCAUAAUAUCUUCACUUCUACAAGAAGAGAAGAUUAAAGAUGGUCUCUAUACUAUGCUAUCGCUUCAGGAUGAGCCUGCGUCCUAUUAGUUAGUUGGUGGGGUAAUGGCCUACCAAGACCACAAUGGGUAGCCGGUCUGAGAGGAUGUACGGCCACACUGGGACUGAGAUACGGCCCAGACUCCUACGGGAGGCAGCAGUGGGGAAUAUUGCGCAAUGGGGGAAACCCUGACGCAGCGACGCCGCGUGGAUGAUGAAGGCCCUUGGGUUGUAAAGUCCUGUUCUGGGGGAAGAAAGCUUAAGGGUCCAAUAAACCCUUAAGCCUGACGGUACCCCAAGAGAAAGCUCCGGCUAAUUAUGUGCCAGCAGCCGCGGUAAUACAUAAGGAGCAAGCGUUAUC